This 3413-nucleotide long non-coding RNA is filed under the name Pongo abelii (Sumatran orangutan). RNAcentral describes it as "lncRNA (ENSPPYG00000040897.1)". The record is from RNAcentral. Lineage: Eukaryota; Metazoa; Chordata; Mammalia; Primates; Hominidae.
AAUCUUUUUUUCACUUGGCCUGCUACUUCCAUUAAAAAACCAUUCUCUUACAGUUAAAAAAAAAAAAGCCCUCCCCUACCCAACCUCCGCCCAUUGUUCUCUUCCAAGGGCAGUUUAGUAGGAUCUGCUUUGUACAUCUCAAGUAAGAGUUAAGUCCCUGAUAUAGGGACCAGUUUCUUAGUGUAAGACAUACACAUCCUGCUUGUCCAGCUGUUCCUCCAAAUUCUACUUUGGCUUCAGCUCCGGAUCCUGUACCAGAUGGAAAAUGUUUUUGGUGAUCUGGCUGCUGCUUAAAGCCAGUUUUCCCUAAGAACUCCAAAGGCUGAAGUCUACUAGGGGCAGAGUGUGAGGAUAGAUUUCUAAUCAGAGAAAAGUGGCCUCCAGGAGCUUUCAUUUAUGUCUUCUCCAGACCAGGUUUUCCUGUUAUCUUCCUUUAAUCCCCUUUCAACCAACAGGUGAAGUUCUUCCAGCCCACAGAGGUAGUAAUAUCAUCUUUUCUAUCUCCUCCUCUCCUUUGGCCAUGUAAUGAAGCAAAAUAUUAUUUAUUUAGCCCAGGCUUGAGAGCCACUGUUUGUGGACAGUCUUCAUCUAGACUCCAUACCCUGGCCUAAGCGAGGUAAGGCUCUCUGGUUAUUGCCAGGAUGGAGCCCCCCUACCCCAGUCUGCUGUAGGGAAUACCCUAAUUAGUUGAGACAUGCUUUUGGAAUCCUGGCAUGUUGGCAUAUGGCUGGUCUAUCCUUUUUAAGAUCUCUGGUUGGGGGUAUCUAGAUAUGGAUUAGGAGGGACAAGGAGCCUUUUUCUUGGCUAAUGUGUUCCAAUACUUUUUUGAAUGGUGCCAGCCCCUCCAGGCAUCCCACCACCAAAUCAUCAUCUUUAGUACUAACAGGGUCUCUGGUCUUAGAAGCCUGCCUUCAGAUCCCAGCUGACCCCAGUGACUGCCUGGCCUUGAUGUUGGCUGCAGCCUUCUGAUAGAACCACAUGGAUUCCACCCACAGCUGGCCAGGCUUGUUACAUGGGUCAGGGAAUACAAAUGCCCCCGCCCAGGGAGCAGGUGUUGGCCUCAGUUUUCAGGGACCCUUGGUGUUGCUCCUUACCUAGAGCCCAUUAAUCUACCCCAUCAACUCUCUGCCAUAAAAGCCAUCUUCCAGGAGCCCUGUUUUUUGGAGCUGAACUGCACAGAUUAUAGCUGCUAUUGUACUUAAAUAAGGGAGAGGAAAAGAAGGUUCUCAGGCACAGACUUUCUAUUUUUCUCAAGCCAAACCAGUUUAAAAUGUCUAGCAGAAUGAACUGUAUUUCCAUUUCUUCAUGUCUACCUGCCUUCCCCCCACACCCUAAAGUUGUACUUGUUUCUAGCAAACUAGAAGGAAAGGAUAGGAAAGCCUGGCACUACUAACCUCACCUCUUAUACACCUCUUUGAAGGCCCCAGCUCUUUUGUUCAGGCCUCUCUUCUCCCCUAGACUCACUCAGCUUGGUAUCCAUCAUCUUGAGCAUUCUUCAGUAGAUUCAUCUAGGGUGCAGAUUCCAGACUCUCAGCUGAAGACAGGGAGCCAAUUUCCCCCAGGUCCCUGCAGGUAAUCUAGGGACCCCGUAGGGAGAACAGGCUGACUGGGGGCAUUAGGAAUGUUUGUACCUCUCUGCCUCCCUGGCAGCCUGGGGAAGGGUGCAGGGCUCAGUGCACUAAACCAUGGUAAACAUCUUCGAUAGAACUACCCUAGAAUUUAGUGAGUGUGAGACUGAGAUAUUGCUCAGAAUAAAUUUCUUCAAUAGCCAUUUAGAAUUGCAUGUUCUAGACCAACCUUGUCCAGUAUGUUUUCUGUUUGAGCUUCUUAAUUCUUUUGUUAAGCCAGCAAGUUGAGAAUUUGGCCCUGUUGGGAUCCAUGUAGUGGGCACUAGCUGCUCUUUGGCCAAGGCCUUCAUAAAUGAUUCAGUCUCUCAUUAUCUGUCCUCUAGCCCCACACCCUGAUUUAGACCGUGGCAAAGGAAGAACUUGAGGUCAAGACCAACCAAAUCUGUGAAUUAAAGCUGUUAUUUUUUUCUCUGCAAGGGUGCUUCGCUUCAGGUCUGGGCUAUGUGCAGAACCUAAGCAGGCUGUGAGAGUUAGAGGCAGCAUUACAUGUUAGGCCCAGAACACCAUGGGAAAAGGUUUAUGUAGCGUAUCUUAGUGGCCUGCCUAGCUGCCUCUGGGCCAGGCUGACUUCUGAUGUCCACAUUAGCUCAUACCUGAACCCUGUUGCUGAAUGCCAGCCCUGUUCUCCUGUAACUACUAUAUAUGCCAUGGCCUGGGGGACAUUGAAGGAAGUAAGCUCUCAGAGAUCCUAACACUGGCUGGGAACCUCUGACUCAGAGCAUGUCUUUAAAGAGUCCACAUCUGGCCGGGCGUGGUGGCACAUGCCUAUAAUCCCAGCACUUUGGGAGGCCGAGGCGGGCGGAUCAUGAGGUCAGGAGUUUGAGACCAGCCUGGCAACAUAGUGAAACCCCAUCUCUAAUAAAAAUACAAAAAAUUAGCUGGGCAUGGUGGCAGGCGCCUGUAAUCCCAGCUACUUGGGAGGCUGAGACAGGAGAAUCACUUGAACCCAGGAGGCGGAGGUUGCAGUGAGCCAAGAUCAUGCCACUGCACUCCAGCUCGGGUGACAGUGCGAGACUCCAUCUCAAAAAAAAAAAAAAAAAAUCCACAUCUUCAGCUGGGCGCGGUGGUUCACGCCUGUAAUCCUAGCACUUUGGGAGGCUGAGGCAGGCAGAUCACUUGAGGUUAGGAGUUCAAAACCAGCCUGACCAACAUAGUAAAACCCCGUCCCUACAAAAAUAAAAAAAAUAAGCCAGGUGUGGUGGUGGGCACCUGUGAUCUCAGCUACGUGGGAGGCUGAGGCAGGAGAAUCUCUUGAACCUAGGAGGCAGAGGUUGCAGUGAGCCAAGAUUGUGCCAGCCUGGGCAACAGGGCGAGACUCUGUCUCAAAAAAAAAAAGUCCGCAUCUUCAUGAACCCUCAGACUCUGGAGUUGGGUGUCGGCUUUUUUAGCCAGCUUUUGUGGGAAUUGCCUUUGACCUAUUAAGGAAAGUGGGUAAUGGAGUCCCAGCCACUCAAGAGACUGGAUAUCCCCCAAGAAUGGCUUGGGUUACCAGCUAUGGACCCUUGGAAGAUGAAUCUAAUCCUUCUCACUGGUUUUUCUUUGCAAAUUCAUUUGCUUUUAUUUUUCUAAUAACAAUAAACUCUAUUUUCCAUGUUCUCAGGGCCCCUGGGUAGACAGACACAGCUUGAUUUCAGAGCAGACGUAGGCCAAGAAAACAUGGCAUUGAGUGUGCUGAGUCCAGACAAAUGUUAUUUAUAUAUACAUCCAAAUUUGAAGAGAAAAUGUAUUUCUUUAGGUUUCAAACACUGUAAUAGAUAUAAAGCAAAAAUAAAAACCUGUUGCAAA